UGGGGAAUAUUGCACAAUGGGCGCAAGCCUGAUGCAGCCAUGCCGCGUGUAUGAAGAAGGCCUUCGGGUUGUAAAGUACUUUCAGCGGGGAGGAAGGUGUUGAGGCUAAUAACCUCAGCAAUUGACGUUACCCGCAGAAGAAGCACCGGCUAACUCCGUGCCAGCAGCCGCGGUAAUACGGAGGGUGCAAGCGUUAAUCGGAAUUACUGGGCGUAAAGCGCACGCAGGCGGUCUGUCAAGUCGGAUGUGAAAUCCCCGGGCUCAACCUGGGAACUGCAUUCGAAACUGGCAGGCUAGAGUCUUGUAGAGGGGGGUAGAAUUCCAGGUGUAGCGGUGAAAUACGUAGAGAUCUGGAGGAAUACCGGUGGCGAAGGCGGCCCCCUGGACAAAGACUGACGCUCAGGUGCGAAAGCGUGGGGAGCAAACA
This 427-nucleotide ribosomal RNA is filed under the name uncultured bacterium. RNAcentral describes it as "partial 16S ribosomal RNA". It matches the Rfam family "Bacterial small subunit ribosomal RNA", at positions 355 to 774 of the family's 1533-position model. The record is from RNAcentral.